RNAcentral lists this small RNA (27 nucleotides) under Bombyx mori (domestic silkworm). RNAcentral's name for it is "ovarian small RNA-21410". Lineage: Eukaryota; Metazoa; Arthropoda; Insecta; Lepidoptera; Bombycidae. The record is from RNAcentral.
UACUCGUAUCCGCUGCAGAUCGACGUG